UACGUAGGGUGCAAGCGUUACUCGGAAUUACUGGGCGUAAAGCGUGCGCAGGCGGUUCGCUAAGACAGAUGUGAAAUCCCCGGGCUUAACCUGGGAACUGCAUUUGUGACUGGCGGGCUAGAGUAUGGCAGAGGGGGGUAGAAUUCCACGUGUAGCAGUGAAAUGCGUAGAGAUGUGGAGGAAUACCGAUGGCGAAGGCAGCCCCCUGGGUCAAGAUUGACGCUCAUGCACGAAAGCGUGGGGAGCAAACAGG
This 253-nucleotide ribosomal RNA is filed under the name uncultured bacterium. RNAcentral's name for it is "partial 16S ribosomal RNA". It matches the Rfam family "Bacterial small subunit ribosomal RNA", at positions 524 to 776 of the family's 1533-position model. The record is from RNAcentral.